UCCCACGAGCAGCUCUGAUUUCUUGCGUGCGCACCUGCACACACACACACACACACACACACACACAUACACACACUUUCUUGACAGAUUGCUUUUCCAUGAGCAGCUCUUAUUUUACAGGCAGACAGACUCACCCACCCUCCCCCCCACACACACACUUUCUUGACAGAGGUUGCCUCAGAUCUGAGAGCAUUGUUGGUAUAAAAAUGGCAUUACAUUAAGUCUUGCCCACCAGCUGUAAUGGUGAUGAACCUCCUGAGUCACCUAGAGAGCGUUUCUCCCUGGCUUUGUGACUGUGCUGACCCCCACUUGUCUUAUAGUAGAAUAUGUUGUUUAGAGCAUUUGGCAAUGAGGCCGUUUGACAGGUUACCUGUGUCACCAGGACAUCUGCAGCAGUUGGCGUGGAUGAAGGUGGUUCUGGAGAGGAAGCAAGAAGUGGCGUCGGGGCCUGGAGCUCCGAGGUUGACUGUGAAGUGGUUCAUGAUCUCAUAACCCUGUUCCACUUUCUCCAUCUGAAACGCCUUCGACGCCUCCGCAAUCCUGCAGCAAAGACAGGUGUCAUUCUCCGUCACCGGCUAAAGUCUGAUAGAUAGCCUUGGGCGAAGACGAAACAGUGUGCUUGUUCGAUCAAAUAGAAAGUACUCACUUUUGUAACAGGGUCUUGGCGUUCUGGGAAAGCAAGAAAGAGAAGCUUACUUGGCAUGUUCACAUUAAGUUGGUGAGAUUUAAUCCUCUGUUUGUGACUCAGCAUCUCCUAGCUGGGCUUCUAGAUGUCACCCUCUCUACUUAAGCAAUACCAAAUGGAGGAAGCUUUUAGUUGAUGAAAUGGAUUUUUAAAUGCAAUGUAGAUAGAAUACUGAAAGCCCGCCUCUUGGGUUUGUGUUCUUGGUGGCAAAGAGCAUUACCUGCAGAAACACGGCCAUUUCCGGCUCGUCCAUGAACUGGAUCCCCGACUCCACCAGCUUUGAUACAUUCUCCAGGUGGUCAGAAUACUUCCGGAUCAGGGCUCGGACGUGCGCCAGUUUCUCCUCCUGAGUUCGGGUGAUGGCUUGGGCCAUUUCGGUCUUCCUCUCCUCCAGGAUGCCGUACAGGUAGUCGAACUUCUCACACAGGUCCUGUUUCUGCUUCCUGCAGCAUUCCUGUUAGUUGGGUCAGCCGGUGUUAGAAACGGUGUGUGAGAGAAUCUAGUGAAACGAUCAUCUGGACACGUUAGGAGACAAGAGCAUCUACCGAUGGAAGAAAAGUACUCCGUCACAUUGGUUAAACAAAUCAAUGCCCCCCCCUCUCUCCAUGUGUGUGACUAUUCAUAUCCAUGUGUGUGAGCAUAUAUGUGCCAAUGCGUGUUUAAGUUUGUGCACAUGUAUGCGGACAUAUGUGUGCCAAUGCAUGUAUAAGAAUGUGCACAUAUGUGUGGAAGCGAAAGAAAGAUCGAUGUUUUGUGGUUUUUUUUUUCAGUUUCUGUCCACCAUAUGUUUUAGACAGUAUUUAUGCCUCUUCAGUCCUGGGAUCACAGGUCACAUCGCUGUGCCUGAUUGUGUGAGCACUGAGGAUUUGAACUCAGGUCCUCCACUUUGCUGUGCCUGAUCGUUUGUGUGAGCACUGAGGAUUUGAACUCAGGUCCUCAUGCUUGCACAGCAAGCUCUUUACCAACUGAGCCAUUUUUCCAGCCCUGGUCUUCUUCACAGAAAUCAAAACAGGUUUUACACUCUGUUUUAUUUACAUUGUGUAUACUACAGGCCAUAUUUGGCAAGGUGAGGUGAAGAAAAACUACGCUCCUUCCUAAUUUGCACACACUCACCUUUCUUUUUUCGCAUGGAGAUUCUGAAGUUUCCCACAGGCCUUUGCACCUGGGAUUCCCUUCUCCAGCCCAAGCAGCUGGAUGCAGCCAAAUUCGCUGUUUUGGACUACAGUUCUAUUCAUGCUUUUUUGUUAUGAAUCCCUUGAAAGGAACCUUGCCUCCUCUCAUUUGUAACCCUUAUCAUCUGAAAGCAGCAGUGAGAUGAUUGGGCUGUUUUAUCUUUUAGGGUCGUCACAAUUAUCGACUUCCCAUGCUGAUAUGAUUCUAGAAAACUGUCAAGAAUGCUGAGGAGGGUGUAGAUGGCUAUAGGCCAGCUUAUGCAAACAGUGUGAACAUAGCAGACUUAUUUGGGACUACUCACAUUUAGUGCCUAGUUCUGAGUCAUUAUGAAAGUUUUUUAAAUACAAAGUAUUGACACAGGAGCAUAUCCCCAAGUGAAACAAAAAUAUCUCAAGAAACUCACAUGUAGUUUUAUUUAAGUCAUGGCUUUGCUUUACACAAUUUCAUGGAUUUGGGAAUGAUUUACUAUUAAUGACUUAAUGGUUUUACUUGGAAAACAACUUUCAAUGUUGUGAAAGUAAAUCUGCUGGCCUGGCUUGUCACCCGGGUAUCCUGUCCCUUUAAGAGACAGGCCCCUCCCACUCCCAAUCUCCCCCUUUGGACUCUCCUUCUCUCUGUUGGCACCUAUGGCACAUAUGUGCAUCUGGUAUAUGUCUGUUUGCCAAACGCUGCUGAAGAGAGGGAAAUGCUGCAAAAAGCCCCUCCGUCUAGUCUGACUCUCACAUACAUUGUGAGACUGAUGUUAAAUCAUAGCUAAGUGCCACUCCAGCCGGCCCAUUGGUCUGCCCUUGCUUUAUCCAGCUCUGGUAAGCUUGCUGUGCUCUUUCUACCUCUGGCUCUUUCUAUCUCUGGAUCCAGAACCUUCAGGGCUGAGAGCAGGUUGUGAGACGGAGUCCCCUCAUCUAGCUCUCCUGCCCUGAGAAUUCAAGUAACUUAUGUCUGACACCUCUGACCUCACCAUGACCAAGUUGUUGACAACGGGUGUGGCUACAAACAAGAUCCCCUAACCUCCUGUGCUCCUUCUUUUAAAACAGGUUUGACAUAGGGAGUGGCUGCCUACAGGAUCCUUGGUCUAGGGUGUGUUCACUGCAUAUUCCUGUCCCACACAUUAAAUACUUUUCUCAGGAAAUAAUGGCUUGAUGUCUCAAGUAUCAAAGCAAGUAACCGUUCUGGUUGCCCUUUGUGUCAUGCUAAGCCGUCUUUUGCCUUCUCCCCCACCCCUUUUGUAUUGGGGCAUAAAAGUAUAUGGAAACUAAAUGCGGGUGCAUUCAGCAUUCAAUGUCCGCUGAGUUUCCCUCCCAGUUCUAUCCUAUGUCUCUGUGUUUCUUUCUUCUCUCUGUCCCUCCUACCUAACAUUUUUAAUCCUUGUGCCCUAACGUGGAACGUAGGAGCCUGCCGUGACUGGACCAUGGCAGAAGUCACCCCAAAAAGGUGGCUUACGACACUUUGCAUCCACGUGUCUGCAGACAGGAAAUUUCGAAGAACAGUUGUUGCCUGAAAAAGCAUGAUUACAACCAUAUUUCUCUCUUCUCCACGAAACCUUAUUUCCUUCUAAGAUUUCCUCUUGUUUUUACCAUGGCACUUUAUCUAUUUGAAUAAAUAGACCGAGGCCAAUUUCUCAUCCUUCCUCUCCUGCUUCUAAAUAGUAAUUGAAUUAAGAUACUGGUUCAUGGCCAGGUGGUGGUGGUGCACA
Non-coding RNA from Myodes glareolus (Bank vole), 3551 nucleotides. NCBI's taxonomy places the organism in Eukaryota, Metazoa, Chordata, Mammalia, Rodentia, Cricetidae. The record is from RefSeq and is a predicted model, not a curated record.